This 562-nucleotide ribosomal RNA is filed under the name Bacillus subtilis. RNAcentral's name for it is "bacterial SSU rRNA". It matches the Rfam family "Bacterial small subunit ribosomal RNA", at positions 70 to 614 of the family's 1533-position model. Lineage: Bacteria; Bacillati; Bacillota; Bacilli; Caryophanales; Bacillaceae. The record is from RNAcentral.
CAGAUCCGGAGCUUGCUCCCUGAUGUUAGCGGCGGACGGGUGAGUAACACGUGGGUAACCUGCCUGUAAGACUGGGAUAACUCCGGGAAACCGGGGCUAAUACCGGAUGCUUAUUUGAACCGCAUGGUUCAAAUAUAAAAGGUGGCUUCGGCUACCACUUACAGAUGGACCCGCGGCGCAUUAGCUAGUUGGUGAGGUAACGGCUCACCAAGGCAACGAUGCGUAGCCGACCUGAGAGGGUGAUCGGCCACACUGGGACUGAGACACGGCCCAGACUCCUACGGGAGGCAGCAGUAGGGAAUCUUCCGCAAUGGACGAAAGUCUGACGGAGCAACGCCGCGUGAGUGAUGAAGGUUUUCGGAUCGUAAAGCUCUGUUGUUAGGGAAGAACAAGUACCGUUCGAAUAGGGCGGUACCUUGACGGUACCUAACCAGAAAGCCACGGCUAACUACGUGCCAGCAGCCGCGGUAAUACGUAGGUGGCAAGCGUUGUCCGGAAUUAUUGGGCGUAAAGGGCUCGCAGGCGGUUUCUUAAGUCUGAUGUGAAAGCCCCCGGCUCAACC